AGUCACUCCAGGGAUGUGAAACAGCCUGGUAAGUUCCAGGACCAGCAAGGAAACGAAUAGAGCCGAAGAGGCAUGGAGUAAGAAGCAGAGGAGAAGGAGAGGAGGACGGAGCGGUUUCACAGUCAUUGAAGAGGGAAGACAGAGCAAAAAGUAAGUGAUACAAGAA
Molecule: long non-coding RNA, 166 nt
Filed under: Canis lupus familiaris (dog)
Lineage: Eukaryota; Metazoa; Chordata; Mammalia; Carnivora; Canidae
Description: lncRNA (ENSCAFG00040011994.1)
Source: RNAcentral